RNAcentral lists this ribosomal RNA (468 nucleotides) under uncultured bacterium. RNAcentral describes it as "partial 16S ribosomal RNA". It matches the Rfam family "Bacterial small subunit ribosomal RNA", at positions 28 to 507 of the family's 1533-position model. The record is from RNAcentral.
GAUGAACGCUGGCGGCGUGCUUAACACAUGCCAGUCGAACGGUGAAGGCGGAGCUUGCUCUGCUGGAUCAGUGGCGAACGGGUGAGUAACACGUGAGCAAUCUGCCCCUGACUCUGGGAUAAGCGCUGGAAACGGCGUCUAAUACUGGAUACGAGCUGCGAAGGCAUCUUCAGCAGCUGGAAAGAAUUUCGGUCAGGGAUGAGCUCGCGGCCUAUCAGCUUGUUGGUGAGGUAAUGGCUCACCAAGGCGUCGACGGGUAGCCGGCCUGAGAGGGUGACCGGGCCACACGGGGAUGGGAAACCGGCCAGACUCCCUAGGGGGGGAGGAGGGGGGAAUAUUGCACAAAGGGGGGAAGGCUGAUGCAGCAAAGCCGGGGGGGGGAGGAAGGGCCUCGGGGUGGAAAACCCUUUUGCGCGGGAAGAAGGGGAAGGGACGGGAACGGGUAAAAAAGGCCCGGGCAAAUAAGGG